AGUCACUGACAUUAGAUACCCGGGUAGUCCUAGCCGUAAACGAUACUCGCUAGGUGUCGGCCACGGUGCGACCGUUGUCGGUGCCGUAGGGAAGCCGUGAAGCGAGCCACCUGGGAAGUACGGCCGCAAGGCUGAAACUUAAAGGAAUUGGCGGGGGAGCACAACAACGGGUGGAGCUUGCGGUUUAAUUGGACUCAACGCCGGGAAGCUUACCGGAUAAGACAGCGGAAUGAUUGCCGGGCUGAAGACCCUGCAUGACCAGCUG
Molecule: ribosomal RNA, 265 nt
Filed under: uncultured archaeon
Lineage: Archaea
Description: partial 16S ribosomal RNA
Rfam family: Archaeal small subunit ribosomal RNA
Source: RNAcentral